This 884-nucleotide long non-coding RNA is filed under the name Pogonomyrmex barbatus (red harvester ant). RNAcentral describes it as "uncharacterized LOC105429628, transcript variant X3". Lineage: Eukaryota; Metazoa; Arthropoda; Insecta; Hymenoptera; Formicidae. The record is from RNAcentral.
UCGCCGCUACCAUCGCCGCCGCUGCCGCUGCCACCUUUUUUUUCUAGGAAAAGCCGCGAAAAGAUUGCUCUUCGUAUAAUCCGGCUGCUAUAAACAAAUAGAUAAACAAAUUGCGAUUCAAUUGCAAACGUAUAACGAUGUUCUGGUUUAGACAAAGGGACAAAGAAAUUACCGAUGAUAUAUAAUAGAUCAUUGGCUGCGCGGGAUCACAGUAGAAAGUCUAAUGAAUCGAAUGUGAGAGAAAGCCGGCGCGAUUGCAUACAAAAAAGAACGUGAAGUGUUGCAUGUGCCGAUAUUGACAGGUGUCAUUUAUAACGGUGCUCCACCCCUGUUCCUAUUGAUAAUACAAGGAAUACGUGUAGUACACUGCUAAAAAGGAAAAAAACUUUGUGGCGUUACAAUGAGAGAUACCAAGAUACCGAGUCAUUGUAAAUAAUGUGGCGCUAGAUUAAUAGAUAAUAAGAUAUGCAGUUGUCAACCACUCGAAAUGUUAAUAAGUUCUCCGUUACGGAACGUGACGAAUUAUCCACCGGUGAACGUGGCAAAUUAUUUUUUGAAGAGAUAUUACAUCCCGAUUGCUCACAAUUUUGUGAAGAGACGCAAACCCCGACUAAAAUAAUUCCGGAGGCAUCCCGCUUCUCGAUUUCUAUCAAAAUAUUUCUGGAGACAUGUGUAUAUCACUAUUACCGAAGAAUUGCGUAUAAUUUAUCGUCAGAUGUCCUUUAUGGAAAGGGCAAAUAAUUCGUUCUCGCUAAACGACAGUAGUCUAUGGUAAAAUUUCGUGAACACGAAUGUUAUAAUGACAUAGAAUUGUUCAUUUACAAUUACGUACAAUAUAAUUUCUUACAGGGAAUUUUCUACUGUUCAUUAGCCAUGUGCAAAAA